AGCACGUUCCUUAGAUCCACCUGAUGGGGCUUUGCCCACCAACUUUACGGUUGGGUAUCAUCGGUGAAUGAGUCAUUGACGUGCGAGACAAGAGAGCACUCUUCUGUUUUGCCAACCUCCCCAGCACCAUGCUAGUUCUUCUGGCUGGAAGUCAUUUCUGACUGUUUGUGAUUAUGUUAGGGAGAUCGGCAGGUGUUGGGGACAUA
This 206-nucleotide small nucleolar RNA is filed under the name Penaeus vannamei (Pacific white shrimp). Its description in RNAcentral is "Litopenaeus vannamei (Pacific white shrimp) Small nucleolar RNA SNORA53". It matches the Rfam family "Small nucleolar RNA SNORA53". From Rfam's summary of the family: The snoRNA ACA53 belongs to the H/ACA family of pseudouridylation guide snoRNAs. Lineage: Eukaryota; Metazoa; Arthropoda; Malacostraca; Decapoda; Penaeidae. The record is from Rfam by way of RNAcentral.